RNAcentral lists this ribosomal RNA (463 nucleotides) under uncultured bacterium. RNAcentral's name for it is "bacterial SSU rRNA". It matches the Rfam family "Bacterial small subunit ribosomal RNA", at positions 29 to 506 of the family's 1533-position model. The record is from RNAcentral.
ACGAACGUUGGCGGCAUGUUUAAGGCAUGCAAGUCGUACGGUCUGUUGUUCUUCGGAGUAACAGAUAGUGGCAAACGGGAGCGUAACACAUUGGUAACCUACCUCGAGGCCGUGAAUAAUUCGCUGAAAAGCGGACUAAUACACGAUAUGGAUGGGGGGACGAAAGUCAUUCCCAUUGAAUGCUUCGGCACCACGAGAGGGGCCUAUGUCCUAUCAGCUAGUUGGUGAGGUAAAAGCUCACCAAGGCUACGACGGGUACCGGGCGUGAGAGCGUGGCCCGGCUCACUGGGACUGAGACACUGCCCAGACACCUACGGGUGGCUGCAGUCAAGAAUCUUCCGCAAUGCGCGAAAGCGUGACGGAGCGAUGCCGCGUGCCGGAUGAAGGCCUUCGGGUUGUAAACGGCUUUUAUUAGGGACGAACAAAUGACGGUACCUAAUGAAUAAGGGGUUGCUAACUCUGU